This 270-nucleotide ribosomal RNA is filed under the name uncultured archaeon. RNAcentral describes it as "partial 16S ribosomal RNA". It matches the Rfam family "Archaeal small subunit ribosomal RNA", at positions 477 to 747 of the family's 1478-position model. The record is from RNAcentral.
CUGCAGCCCGAGUGGUGAUCGAUUUUAUUGAGCCUAAAGCGUCCGUAGCCGGACUAGUAAACCCUCGGGUAAAUUGGGCAGCUUAACUGUCCAAAUUCCGAGGGGACUGCUAGUCUUGGGACCGGGAGAGGUCAGAGGUACUCAAGGGGUAGGGGCUAAAUCCUGUAAUCCUUUGGGGACCACCAGUGGCGAAGGCGUCUGACUAGAACGGAUCCGACGGUAAGGGACGAAACCCUGGGGCGCGAACCGGAUUAGAUACCCGAGUAGUCC